Molecule: ribosomal RNA, 253 nt
Filed under: uncultured bacterium
Lineage: Bacteria
Description: partial 16S ribosomal RNA
Rfam family: Bacterial small subunit ribosomal RNA
Source: RNAcentral
UACGUAGGCGGCAAGCGUUGUCCGGAUUUACUGGGCGUAAAGAGCGCGCAGGCGGUCGAAUAAGUCGAAUGUGAAAGCCCCCGGCUUAACUGGGGAGGGGCAUUCGAUACUGCUCGACUUGAAGGCAGGAGAGGGUAGUGGAAUUCCCGGUGUAGUGGUGAAAUGCGUAGAUAUCGGGAGGAACACCAGUGGCGAAGGCGACUACCUGGCCUGUUCUUGACGCUGAGGCGCGAAAGCUAGGGGAGCGAACGGG